AGAGUUUGAUCAUGGCUCAGAUUGAACGCUGGCGGCAGGCCUAACACAUGCAAGUCGAACGGUAACAGGAAGCAGCUUGCUGCUUUGCUGACGAGUGGCGGACGGGUGAGUAAUGUCUGGGAAACUGCCUGAUGGAGGGGGAUAACUACUGGAAACGGUGGCUAAUACCGCAUAACGUCGCAAGACCAAAGAGGGGGACCUUCGGGCCUCUUGCCAUCAGAUGUGCCCAGAUGGGAUUAGCUUGUUGGUGAGGUAACGGCUCACCAAGGCGACGAUCCCUAGCUGGUCUGAGAGGAUGACCAGCCACACUGGAACUGAGACACGGUCCAGACUCCUACGGGAGGCAGCAGUGGGGAAUAUUGCACAAUGGGCGCAAGCCUGAUGCAGCCAUGCCGCGUGUAUGAAGAAGGCCUUCGGGUUGUAAAGUACUUUCAGCGGGGAGGAAGGUGUUGUGGUUAAUAACCGCAGCAAUUGACGUUACCCGCAGAAGAAGCACCGGCUAACUCCGUGCCAGCAGCCGCGGUAAUACGGAGGGUGCAAGCGUUAAUCGGAAUUACUGGGCGUAAAGCGCACGCAGGCGGUCUGUCAAGUCGGAUGUGAAAUCCCCGGGCUCAACCUGGGAACUGCAUUCGAAACUGGCAGGCUUGAGUCUUGUAGAGGGGGGUAGAAUUCCAGGUGUAGCGGUGAAAUGCGUAGAGAUCUGGAGGAAUACCGGUGGCGAAGGCGGCCCCCUGGACAAAGACUGACGCUCAGGUGCGAAAGCGUGGGGAGCAAACAGGAUUAGAUACCCUGGUAGUCCACGCCGUAAACGAUGUCUACUUGGAGGUUGUGCCCUUGAGGCGUGGCUUCCGGAGCUAACGCGUUAAGUAGACCGCCUGGGGAGUACGGCCGCAAGGUUAAAACUCAAAUGAAUUGACGGGGGCCCGCACAAGCGGUGGAGCAUGUGGUUUAAUUCGAUGCAACGCGAAGAACCUUACCUGGUCUUGACAUCCACAGAACUUUCCAGAGAUGGACUGGUGCCUUCGGGAACCGUGAGACAGGUGCUGCAUGGCUGUCGUCAGCUCGUGUUGUGAAAUGUUGGGUUAAGUCCCGCAACGAGCGCAACCCUUAUCCUUUGUUGCCAGCGAUUAGGUCGGGAACUCAAAGGAGACUGCCAGUGAUAAACUGGAGGAAGGUGGGGAUGACGUCAAGUCAUCAUGGCCCUUACGACCAGGGCUACACACGUGCUACAAUGGCGCAUACAAAGAGAAGCGACCUCGCGAGAGCAAGCGGACCUCAUAAAGUGCGUCGUAGUCCGGAUUGGAGUCUGCAACUCGACUCCAUGAAGUCGGAAUCGCUAGUAAUCGUGGAUCAGAAUGCCACGGUGAAUACGUUCCCGGGCCUUGUACACACCGCCCGUCACACCAUGGGAGUGGGUUGCAAAAGAAGUAGGUAGCUUAACCUUCGGGAGAGCGCUUACCACUUUGUGAUUCAUGACUGGGGUGAAGUCGUAACAAGGUAACCGUAGGGGAACCUGCGGUUG
This 1522-nucleotide ribosomal RNA is filed under the name Salmonella enterica. Its description in RNAcentral is "bacterial SSU rRNA". It matches the Rfam family "Bacterial small subunit ribosomal RNA". The record is from RNAcentral. Lineage: Bacteria; Pseudomonadati; Pseudomonadota; Gammaproteobacteria; Enterobacterales; Enterobacteriaceae. RNAcentral also lists the same sequence under 2 other names.